Molecule: ribosomal RNA, 500 nt
Filed under: uncultured bacterium
Lineage: Bacteria
Description: partial 16S ribosomal RNA
Rfam family: Bacterial small subunit ribosomal RNA
Source: RNAcentral
AUUGAACGCUGGCGGCAUGCCUUACACAUGCAAGUCGAACGGCAGCACGGGAGCAAUCCUGGUGGCGAGUGGCGAACGAGUGAGUAAUAUAUCGGAACGUGCCCAGUCGUGGGGGAUAACGUAGCGAAAGCUACGCUAAUACCGCAUACGAUCUACGGAUGAAAGCGGGGGAUCGCAAGACCUCGCGCGAUUGGAGGGGCCGAUAUCGGAUUAGGUAGUUGGUGGGGUAAAGGCUCACCAAGCCGACGAUGUGUAGCUGGUCUGAGAGGACGACCAGCCACACUGGGACUGAGACACGGCCCAGACUCCUACGGGAGGCAGCAGUGGGGAAUUUUGGACAAUGGGCGCAAGCCUGAUCCAGCAAUGCCGCGUGCAGGAUGAAGGCCUUCGGGUUGUAAACUGCUUUUGUACGGAACGAAACGGCGAGCUCUAAUACAGUUUGCUAAUGACGGUACCGUAAGAAUAAGCACCGGCUAACUACGUGCCAGCAGCCGCAGUAA